RNAcentral lists this ribosomal RNA (253 nucleotides) under uncultured bacterium. Its description in RNAcentral is "partial 16S ribosomal RNA". It matches the Rfam family "Bacterial small subunit ribosomal RNA", at positions 524 to 776 of the family's 1533-position model. The record is from RNAcentral.
UACGUAGGGUGCGAGCGUUAAUCGGAUUUACUGGGCGUAAAGCGUGCGCAGGCGGUCCACUAAGACAGGUGUGAAAUCCCUGGGCUCAACCUAGGAAUUGCGCUUGUGACUGGCGGGCUAGAGUACGGUAGGGGGGGGUGGAAUUCCUGGUGUAGCAGUGAAAUGUGUAGAGAUCAGUAGGAACACCGAUGGCGAAGGCAGCCCCCUGGGCCUGUACUGACGCUCAGGCACGAAAGCGUGGGGAGUAAACAGG